Molecule: ribosomal RNA, 208 nt
Filed under: uncultured bacterium
Lineage: Bacteria
Description: partial 16S ribosomal RNA
Rfam family: Bacterial small subunit ribosomal RNA
Source: RNAcentral
GUCCGUAGGUGGUUUGUCAAGUCUGUCGUCAAAGAAUGGAGCUUAACUCCAUAAAGGCGGUGGAAACUGAGAGACUAGAGUUCGGUAGGGGUAGCGGGAAUUCCCAGUGUAGCGGUGAAAUGCGUAGAUAUUGGGAAGAACAUCGGUGGCGAAAGCGCGCUACUGGGCCGAAACUGACACUGAGGGACGAAAGCUAGGGUAGCGAAAG